RNAcentral lists this ribosomal RNA (383 nucleotides) under Klebsiella pneumoniae. RNAcentral describes it as "partial 23S ribosomal RNA". It matches the Rfam family "Bacterial large subunit ribosomal RNA", at positions 1068 to 1460 of the family's 2925-position model. The record is from RNAcentral. Lineage: Bacteria; Pseudomonadati; Pseudomonadota; Gammaproteobacteria; Enterobacterales; Enterobacteriaceae.
AAAGGUUGUGAGAUUUCAUAAACAACUAGGAAGUUGGCUUAGAAGCAGCCACCUUUUAAAGAGUGCGUAAGUGCUCACUAGUCAAGAGAUCUUGCGCCAAUAAUGUAACGGGACUCAAACACAAUACCGAAGCUACGGGCACAUUAUGUGCGUUAGGAGAGCGUUUUAAUUUCGUUGAAGUCAGACCGUGAGGACUGGUGGAGAGAUUAAAAGUGAGAAUGCCGGCAUGAGUAACGAUUCGAAGUGAGAAUCGUCGACGCCUAUUGGGAAAGGUUUCCUGGGCAAGGUUCGUCCACCCAGGGUUAGUCAGGGCCUAAGAUGAGGCAGAAAUGCAUAGUCGAUGGACAACAGGUUAAUAUUCCUGUACUUGGUAAAAGAAGGGG